RNAcentral lists this ribosomal RNA (494 nucleotides) under uncultured bacterium. RNAcentral describes it as "partial 16S ribosomal RNA". It matches the Rfam family "Bacterial small subunit ribosomal RNA", at positions 28 to 507 of the family's 1533-position model. The record is from RNAcentral.
GACGAACGCUGGCGGCGUGCUUAACACAUGCAAGUCGAACGGUGAAGCGCCUUCCUUUUUGGUGGGUGUGGAUGAGUGGCGAACGGGUGAGUAACACGUGAGUAACCUGCCCCCUUCUUCUGGAUAACCGCAUGAAAGUGUGGCUAAUACGGGAUAUUCUGGGUCUGUCGCAUGAUGGGUCUGGGAAAGAUAUUGUUUCGGUGGGGGAUGGGCUCGCGGCCUAUCAGCUUGUUGGUGGGGUGAUGGCCUACCAAGGCGGGGACGGGUAGCCGGCCUGAGAGGGUGGACGGUCACACUGGGACUGAGGCACGGCCCAGACUCCUACGGGAGGCAGCAGUGGGGAAUAUUGCACAAUGGGCGAAAGCCUGAUGCAGCGACGCCGCGUGAGGGAUGGAGGCCUUCGGGUUGUGAACCUCUUUCGCCAGUGAAGCAGGCCUGCCUCGUUUGUGGGUGGGUUGACGGUAGCUGGAUAAGAAGCGCCGGCUAACUACGUG